GAAGUCAGCUGAUUGGUAUCUGAAAGAACUUUUAGGUCGCAUGCAAGAGAAUGAAUUCUUAAGUAAAUGGACGUCAUUAGAGGAUGCCGACUAUAAUCGUCAUAAUACAUGGCUUUGCAAGAAGUGCAUCUGUCAAAUCCUUGAAAAAGAUUUGAUAACUCCUAAGGCCAUCAUCACGGUUUGAAAACUUACAAACAAUCAUAUUUUCUUUUCGGUAUGAAAUAGAAAUGAAAAUUUAAUUUAACAGUCUGACAUAAGCGACAGCUUCAGUAAAGUAAUAAAAGACGAAAAUCGACCAAAAUGGCCAGAAGCCGA
This 315-nucleotide long non-coding RNA is filed under the name Mytilus galloprovincialis (Mediterranean mussel). Lineage: Eukaryota; Metazoa; Mollusca; Bivalvia; Mytilida; Mytilidae. The record is from RNAcentral.